GGGAGGAGCGAGGGCAGCCGUGGGCCUCGAAGGGCUCCCACGGCCCGGGUCCCGGUCCACGGGCGGGCAGGCAGCGGGACCACGGAGGGAGGACCGUGUCCAGGCUCGGCGGCGGCUCGGUGCUUCCGGCGGCCUCUCUCCACCCACUCGGCUCCUUUUUAAUAUCCACUUGGAGAAGCUUCCCUGAGCCUCUUGGAAGCCAGCUCGGCGUCAGAUUCCUGGCCACGUCCACCGCCUCUCACUCCCCAGCUCCCGACGCCACGGCUUCCUCUGGUCCAGGCGUCUGAGCAGCGGGGUCCGGGCCGGCCUCGCCUGCCCUCAGCGGCUGCCCGGCGGCCGCACCCCGGCCCAGCUCGGCCGGAAGGAAGGAGGGGCGGCCGCACCCCAGGCGGCCGUUCAGGAGCACCUGCCCGAGGAGCCCACGCAGCAGCUGCCGUCGCCGGUGCCCGGUGUCCGCGGUGGCAGAGGCAGCGCCCCGCCCAGCGCCCGGGAGAGCGGGACAGACUUCCUGGAAGAUUCCUACCACACGCAUGAGUCAAGCUGGAGGACACCCCAAAGACAGCUGCACGGACACAGAAGGUGGGACCAUGUCUCAGCCAAGGGGAGCCGGGCUCAGGCGCUGUGGUGAGCUGCAUGACGGCCCUGGCGAUGUCACAUCCCUGGAACCCGGAGCUCAUGUGGAGAAAGAGUGGCUGCAGAUGGACUUAGCGAAGGACCCUGAGAGGGGACGCGACCUGGAUUGAUGGGUUAGGCGACCCCUGUGAAAGGGCCAUUCAAUCGCUGCCUUAGAGCCUGCGGAGGGAGGGCGGCCUCCAGCGCCGUGAGACGACGCGACGCCCCCAGCGUGUGGACGUGCUAGCGCAGCCACAGGACAGCCACGCGCACGGGAGCCACGGACUGAAGAGCCGGCGUCCCCCGUGUGACGUUUCCUGCUGAGGACCGUUCCUUCUAGAACUCAACGGCCAACCAGUUCAAACUGCAGAGCCCUAUAAAGAAACCCCUUUGGUGACAAAGGGUCUCUCUGGCACCGAUUCCGGAGGCGGCAGCGGCAGCCCCGGCCGGUGGUGGGCGGGACGAGGGCCGCCACAGCCGGUUCACCCUUCCUGGCCGCCUCCUGUCGGCGCCGCCGAGCUCACGCCAGCUCAUUGCUGCGGUCGGGGCAGCUGCUGAGCGCGGCUUCGGCCCGGCCCUCGGUCUCCCCCGGCAGGGCUUGGCUCGAGGUCCUCCCCCCGCCGUGCCUAACCGUCCAAGCAUCCUGGCCACGCGGGGGAUCAUUUGAAACCAAAAACCUGGCAGCACCGAUGGGCUUGGAUGAGACCUGAGUCAGUCAGGAGCCAGUGCAGAGGCCGGCGGGGAGGUGGGGUGAGGCCAGGCCGGGAGGGGGGCCAGGCCCCGGCUGCUCACUGAGUCAGGACAGCCCCCAUCCCCGAAGUGGGUUCCCACGUGGCUGCAGCCCCCAGAGCACUGGUGGGCUCUGGAUUCUGCAGAGCUUUCUCCCUGUCUGAGGGGCGCCAGGCACAGCAGGCACCGUAAACGGCCGAGUGGUCCCAGCGGGGGGCCGGCCUCCCUUCCUACAGCUCUUCCCACGCCGAACCCACAAACUGGCAAACCCAUGAACCCACGACACAUGCUGCCCCAGGGAGGCAGGGUCCCUGUCCCCGAGGCUACAGCUCUGGGAAACUGCUUGUGCCAGCCAGCCAGCCGGGCCCCGCGCCCACACCCAGCCUGGCCACGCCCUGGGGUGGGCACACUUGCCCCCCAGCCCCUUCCAGACAGCGCUCAAGCUGGCGUCUUGUCCUGCAGCCCGCAGACCUGCACCCGGGUUCCCAUACUCCCGGCCCUUUCUUGGCGAUGCCACCAUCACCUUCGAGGGCCCGGGGCAGAGGGAGGAAGAGUGAGGGCUGACCCCUUCCAGGAAGCACAUCUGUGCCUCCCACACCCCCCGGGAGGGGACCCAAAAGUAAAAGGGUCCCCGGGUCCCUGAGCUCCCACCGCCAGGCCCGGAGGAAAGGAGCGAGCACCCGGGGGGACUGCUGUGGGCAGCAGGGGCCUCAGGAAGGGGUUGCAGGAUGGACAUGGCCUUGCGCCGGGUGCCCAUGUGGGAGAGGGCCCUGCGGAGGUGGGAGGGGGGGCUGCAGGGCACUUUCUGGGGCCUGGGCUCGGAUUUCAGGCCGUCUCUCCCGCCCCUCCCCUCACGCAGGCAUCCACCGUUCCUCCUCCAAGAGCUCCAGCUCCAGGGCCCUGCAACCUCUCACUUUAAAAGUCUCAACCACUGGGGUUGGCUUCCCUGAGUUAUAAGGAGCCCCCUCCCCCUGACCUCCUGUGGCCGCUGCUACCGGCCCUGCCAGCUCAGCAGGCAGCUGGCCGAGACCACCAGGCGGCCAGUCUGGCUGCUGCAGCCUCCAGGGCAGGACGGAUUCCGGAUUCCGGGCCUGGGGCCGGCUGCAUUCCUCUCCGGAACCUUCUCCCCGCUUUUUAUUGCCCCUCCAUCGGCUGUUCCUAAAUAAAUACAACCCAGCGACUCUCUGCCCCGGACUGCUGCGGGCUGACGUGUUAGGAUCUGGGCCGGCUGGCCUGUUGCUUGGGAGUCCUUCCAGGUCAGGGUGGGAGGGAACCAAGACAACAGAGAGAAGCUGCGAGGUCGGGUGAGCUCCACCGCGAAGGGCCUCGCGCACAGCCAUCCGUCUGGGCUGCAGCCCGGCCUGAGCCGCGAGCUGGCGCAUCUUUCCCGGAGGAGGCAGGAGGCCGUGGGAUCUCGGGGUGCAGAUUCUGGGUCUUUAUGGAGCCUGCCCGGGGCCCCUGCGUGCACACGGCCCCCGGAACACUGAAAACCCUGCCCCGGCUGCUCUUUCACUGCCCGCUGGGAGCCCGUGAGUUCCAGCGUCCGGUGCGUGCAAACUGCCGGCCAGCGCUCCCCGCGAUGAUGUCAGCGCUCUCUCCUGGGUCCAAGGCGGCCGCCACGUGUGCUGUGAGCGCUCGCCAUCUGGCCGUGCUGCUGAGGAACGAGGUUUUAAUUUGGGUCAAAUAAUUAAACGUGAGCCCACUGCCCUGCCAGACGGGCUUGCUUCUCCUCCUCCACCUGGAGACUCACGGUCUCCACAGACUUCUCCCCAGAAGGCAAACGAAAAGACAGGCCACGCUGCCGUCAUCGAGGCAACAGAAGGUUGACGUUUCCACCUAAACUCGGUGUUGCCCCCCCCCCACCCCCGCUUCUCCUGCUGGGUGCGACUCAACAGCAUUUACUGCCGCCUGCUGAGGGCCACGGAGCACCCAGCCGAUGGGGCAGGCAGUGGAACCCCAAGGCUGAGCUGCUGGGGGGCUGACAGCUUGGGCCCAGGGUACCCCGGAAGGAGAAUGCCUUCAGCGGUGAAAAAGUGGGGGGCUGUGACCCCGAGGCAGCCUACGCCUGGGAGCAGGGAGGGAGGGAGCAGGACCGAGCGGGGAUGAGCACUGGCCUCGGGUUCGAGUUCGCCCUGUGGGAAAGGACAGCCGGACUCUCUUUGAUUUUUUGAUCUCUGGGCCUUUUGUCGGCCUCGUCCCCGCAGGGGUGCCCGCGUCUGCUGCCUUUAACGCCUCAGAGCUGUGUCGCUGACCUGACCCCGCUGCAGCCCACGGGGUGGUCUUUAGGACGGAGUAUGAGUGGCUGUUGUCCAGGGCGUCCCCAAGACCCAAGUCCUCGCCUUCUUCCGCGGGCGGCGGCGGCAGGCGGCGGCCUCAGCCUCCAGCUUGACCUUGAUGCUCAGCCGGGCCCCGCGCCCUAGGCCUAGCGCUGCCCCUCUGUCCCCUGGGCCCAGCACUCGUCCAGCUCCUCGUGGUUCUUCCGAGCCAGCCCGUCACAGCGGCCCGAUGCCCAGGGGGCAGCUGCUGGUGCAGACCGCGCCUUCCUCCUGCAGA
Myotis myotis is the source of this 3894-nucleotide long non-coding RNA. RefSeq lists it as uncharacterized. The transcript is spliced from 4 exons. Lineage: Eukaryota; Metazoa; Chordata; Mammalia; Chiroptera; Vespertilionidae. The record is from RefSeq and is a predicted model, not a curated record.